AGGUCAUUGAGCUUAUCCUCUUCCCGGGCUGAUUUGUUCCGCUGUAACCAGCUCUGCGUCUGAAGGGCCGCUGUGCUUUGCAGCAAGGAAAAAAAAAUCUCUGGAAACGAGACCCAAGGCAGCCCAAAGUGCCUGAAAGCAUGUGUAGCUUUUCCAAGUGCUCCAGCUGACCUAAUAAACGGUGUCCCCUCUCCCUGCCCUUGCCUCACUUACAUCUCGCACCAUCCUCUCUCCGACGCCUCUGCUGCACCACUGUGCUUGUUCCUGCUCUGCUGAGCCCACAAAUGAAGGCACAGCCUCGAGGAGCUGCUGUGGGAGGUGCUCCACUGGCCCAGUUUGGAGGGGGGAAGCACAGGCAUCGUGUGGUGGAGCUGCUCGGUCUGUAAACCACCCAUCCCACCUCGCCUCUGCCGUGUGGCAGGGGCUGGUGGGAGGUAAGUGAAGCUGCUGGUGACACUGCAGACCAGGGAGCAAGGCUGACCUGAUGAUCAUCUCGUUAGAUGCAUCCCAAAGCCCUUCUCAGGCUGAGUUCCUUGGCCUCUGCUGCUGCUGUUGGAAGAGUCCUGCACACAGCUCUCCCACCAUGCCCAUCAAACCUCAGAAAAGGAGGAUGAAUGGGAAGGAGGAUCACCCUGCACACAGAGGUAAAUGUGGGGAGGGAAACCUUAACCAAGCAGGGGAGAUUUCUGUCUUUAGCCACUACUGAAACUUCCAUCUGUGCCUGUGCUGGGGGUAGUGCGCAGCUAAUGAUGCAUUUGGAAAUACAUUUUGGUCUGAGAUGUCCAAUGAGUUUGGCUUUUUGAUGCCUGCACAAGUGGACUCCGUGUACUUAAACAUCUCCCUGACGGAAUUAGAAAGUGAGUGCUGUGUAAGCGGAGACGAGGAUCUUCUGCGAGACUGACUUUGAGGUGCCACUCUCCAAAAGCCAGAGUGGUGAAAGCUGGGAUUUUGACUUUGCCUCUUUUCCAGAGAGGUCUGGGGCCAUCCAGCCCGGCCCUGCUGCCGGGGGCAUUGCUGCAGGGUGGCAACUGGCCCAUUCCCUCUCCUGACAUUUGCAUUUGCUCAAACAAAAGGCUCAUUCUGGCUGGAGCUGUGGCCGGGCUCUCGCCCCGUCCGGUUCCCAGUUGCUUUUUGGAAAGAGCUGUGCUGGAUUGCCCGGUUUGAGCACUCCUGUGGGGCACUGUCAGCUUGGAUAUUUUGGUCUUUUGUCAUAUAUAAAAAGAUGUCUGUGUUAUUUGCAAGCAGUUAGUCAUCUGCUAGCCAGAAUGGGGUUGUUUCCCUUAAGGAUGUUUAGGAUCACACAGCUUGUACAGGCAGAGGGGAAAAUGUCUGAAGAUGUUGGGAUUAAUCAUAUAACUGCUGCAGUUAUCUUCAUCCAGAGCCUUAUCUUCCACUGCCCGUUAGAGCUCCUGAACUUGAGGGCUGUAUCUGAUCUCCAGCCUUUCCCAUAAUGACAUUUAUCCAGGCAGGCUGGAAGACAAAGGGGAGCCCAGGCAGUAGAACCUCUAGCCAGUUCUUUCUUUCUUUACUUAUUUUUUGUUGGUUUUUCUU
Molecule: long non-coding RNA, 1551 nt
Organism: Empidonax traillii (willow flycatcher)
Lineage: Eukaryota; Metazoa; Chordata; Aves; Passeriformes; Tyrannidae
Exons: 3
Source: RefSeq, a predicted model, not a curated record